Molecule: ribosomal RNA, 409 nt
Filed under: bacterium
Lineage: Bacteria
Description: partial 16S ribosomal RNA
Rfam family: Bacterial small subunit ribosomal RNA
Source: RNAcentral
UGGGGAAUAUUGCACAAUGGGCGGAAGCCUGAUGCAGCGACGCCGCGUGGGGGAUGAAGGCCUUCGGGUUGUAAACUCCUUUCGACAGGGACGAAGCUUUUGUGACGGUACCUGUAUAAGAAGCACCGGCUAACUACGUGCCAGCAGCCGCGGUAAUACGUAGGGUGCGAGCGUUGUCCGGAAUUACUGGGCGUAAAGAGCUCGUAGGUGGUUUGUCGCGUCGUCUGUGAAAUUCCGGGGCUUAACUCCGGGCGUGCAGGCGAUACGGGCUGACUUGAGUGCUGUAGGGGAGACUGGAAUUCCUGGUGUAGCGGUGAAAUUCGCAGAUAUCAGGAGGAACACCGAUGGCGAAGGCAGGUCUCUGGGCAGUAACUGACGCUGAGGAGCGAAAGCAUGGGUAGCGAACAGG